UAGGGAAUCUUCCGCAAUGGGCGAAAGCCUGACGGAGCAACGCCGCGUGAGUGAUGAAGGUCUUCGGAUCGUAAAACCCUGUCAUUCGGGAAGAACAAAUGUGUAAGUAACUAUGCACGUCUUGACGGUACCUAAUCAGAAAGCCACGGCUAACUACGUGCCAGCAGCCGCGGUAAUACGUAGGUGGCAAGCGUUAUCCGGAAUUAUUGGGCGUAAAGCGCGCGUAGGCGGUUUGGUAAGUCGGGUGUGAAAGCCCACGGCUCAACCGUGGAGGGUCAUUGGAAACUGGAAGACUUGAGUGCAGAAGAGGAAAGUGGAAUUCAAUGUGUAGCGGUGAAAUGCGCAGAGAUAUGGAGGAACACCAGUGGCGAAGGCGACUUUCUGGGCUGUAACUGACGCUGAUGUGCGAAAGCGUGGGGAUCAAACAGG
RNAcentral lists this ribosomal RNA (429 nucleotides) under Actinomycetes bacterium. Its description in RNAcentral is "Actinobacteria bacterium partial 16S ribosomal RNA". It matches the Rfam family "Bacterial small subunit ribosomal RNA", at positions 355 to 776 of the family's 1533-position model. The record is from RNAcentral. Lineage: Bacteria; Bacillati; Actinomycetota; Actinomycetes.